RNAcentral lists this long non-coding RNA (211 nucleotides) under Prunus persica (peach). Its description in RNAcentral is "long non-coding RNA (PPER_LNC007688)". The record is from RNAcentral. Lineage: Eukaryota; Viridiplantae; Streptophyta; Magnoliopsida; Rosales; Rosaceae.
UAGAAAGAAUAUAGGCUUAGUUUCAUGGUUAUAAAUGUUAUAACAUGUCAUAUCUUUCAUGAUUGAUUCAUAUGUAUGCUUGAUACUUGGAAUUUUGGAUGUUGCAUGAAAGAGAUUUUUCAAAAAUAAACAAAGGGGGUGGCGGCAUCUUUGGGUUUUUGGUCUUGUGUGUUUUUCAUGCUUAUCUAAUUUAUUUUGUUGUGUUGGUCUU